UACGGAGGGGGUUAGCGUUGUUCGGAAUGACUGGGCGUAAAGCGCGCGUAGGCGGGCUGGAAAGUCGGGGGUGAAAUCCCGGGGCUCAACCCCGGAAUGGCCUUCAAAACUCCCAGCCUAGAGUUCGAGAGAGGUGAGUGGAAUUCCGAGUGUAGAGGUGAAAUUCGUAGAUAUUCGGAGGAACACCAGUGGCGAAGGCGGCUCACUGGCUCGACACUGACGCUGAGGUGCGAAAGCGUGGGGAGCAAACAGGAUUAGAAACCCCAGUAGUCC
Molecule: ribosomal RNA, 273 nt
Filed under: uncultured bacterium
Lineage: Bacteria
Description: partial 16S ribosomal RNA
Rfam family: Bacterial small subunit ribosomal RNA
Source: RNAcentral